CUCAAUUUGCAUUCUCAAAGGAGGCAAUGCAUGGGCAUGGCAACAAGGCAAAGAGUGACAGUCUGAUGCAUUAUAGGCAACUUAAAAUAUAUCAUUGUAACUAACAGAUGUUACAUUCUCUUUUUCCCUUUCUGAAAAGUAUUGCCAUACUUUAACUUAUAUCAUUGUAACAAAACAUCAACGCACCAUUCUGAAGUUUCUAACCCAUAACGAAGAUUUCUAAGACUCGUGUUUACAGUAGCACCAAUUUAGGGGAUGCUAUGAACAACUUUAUCUAAAUCGUCGGAAGACAGUUGAGAUAGAAGAGAACAUUGUAUGCUAACGAUAGGGGGGAAACUGUAAGCUGACAGUUACCAGAAGCAUGCUUGAAAUCAUUAAUCAACCAUGCUCCUGUUACCAGGACACUCGAGCAAGGCGUUGUUUUUAGCAUCUGAAGCGAUUUACAGUUUUUUACAUGAAUAGAUCAUAGUGCAGCUGCCCUUCAACUGUCCUGGACCAGGUUGGUUGGCGCACUCAAAACAUACUUGGGCAGUUCAUAUUUAGCACCUGAAAUGUUAAUAGCUAUGGUAAACUAACUGAACAACAGUUGAAAGAGUGGGAAAAAAGGAAUCAGAUGGAAAAUCAAACCUCUUUCAUCAUAGCAUAGAGUCAGGUCAGCAUUUGAAACAAUUACGCCUGCACUUUCCACAAUUGCCUGUGCAAGGGCUACAUCAGCCUCUGACGCAGCACGAAGGGCAUCCCAAAUUUCUGUAGAAGGCUUAAAUGGUUAGUCCAAGGAUUGCGUACAUGAGCAGCUAAGAGAACUAUAGAUACAAGCACAAAAAGAAAAUUUAGCUCAACUAAUAAUUUAAUAGUAGGAAGUAAAAUUAUGUAAAGACACACGACAGAAGCAAAGAGUGAGAAGUACCUUUCCGACCACCAUAGUGAGGAGCUGUGUCCCAAAACUCAUCACGCAUCUGCCUGAGCUGGGCAAUUGUGAUCGGCUGGGGGUGCUUCCAGGGCUUAGGCUUCCUGACUUUCUUCGUAGCUUCUGCAUAAAUUUAAAAUAAGCCACAUUGUAUGAAAUGACCAGUGAAGCCUGAAUACGUAUACACAGUUAAAAGAUAUUAGAGUAAAUUCAGUGCAAGACAAAAGACAAACAGUGCCAGUUUUUUCACUCUCAAAAACUCAUCUCUAUUUAACAGGAACAUCAUUGUACAACUUCCCAUUCGAUGAAAAGUUUACCUUUAAAUUUUAAGGCGUCUUUCCUAGCCCUGUUCUCAUUGCCUUAUGUGUCUACCACAAAUAUACACAUUACAUAUGGUGAGUAGAAUUUUUUUACCACCAACAAACUAACUUAUAGGGACUGAAGAACAUAAAUGAAAAUUUUAUCUGUGCCAACAACUCAAAAUUGCAAUUAAUCAAAUAUUGAGUGGACAUUUUUUUUGCAUGGUAAUACGUGUCUCAUUUAUAACAUAAGGAUCAUAGUACAAGCCACGUACAUACUGACCUGGCAAAACUGAACAAAUAGCAGAACGCUAGCCUUUGCACAAAGGAACAACAGCCAAGAAGUAAAAUUACAAACAAGACCGAAGAAACCUCUGAGCUUGAUCCAUGCUAUUACAUGAGAUGACUAAAACACACAUAGGUAUAUAAUAAUGUUAUUUCAUCUAAUUAUUCAAGAUUAGACAUUGUCAAUGAGUAGUCAGGCAUGUAUUUAAUAGAUCUACAUGAGGUCAUCAACUAUCUAAAAUACUGGCAAGUGGCAAGAACUAACAAUUCCACAAAAUGUUUUGUACCAUUUUCAAAAGACACAAUAUGAUGCACAAGGACUUACAUAAUACUACCAUCAUGUUCCAAAUGUCACUUGCUCCUUCUUUAUCAAAUACCAAGCCCCACAGAAUUGUUCAAAACAUAAUACUACUUUUAACAGUUUAGCACAACCUAGUCCUUGUGGAUACAUUUUGUCAGGCUCCAAGCUGAUUAGGCUAACUAAUCAACCAUCCAUAUUCUUCAAUAAAUGUUGACACCAUUAUUAGUUUACCAGACACUAAGCUAUUACUUCUAGCUGAAUACAUAAAAUGCAACUCUACUCAAAUGUAAUGAACAAGGAAACCAAAUCCUGUAUAGUUCCAGCUUUCAGUAUUCAACUUGCACAAAAUGUCAUGUCUCUUGCAUCAGGAUUCAGGACAAUAGAACAGGAUCCAAAAUAUAACAUUCGCUCAUGAAUUGUCAUAAUAAACAACCACUACAUAUCACAAAAGAAAACAGAAACCUUCAAGAUACAGAGAUGUUAAUCUCACCCCCAAGAAUGCAAUGAAUGUUAAAACUAUGUCUUGUCGACUGCUAUGCUAACUAAUUAGUUCCAUUCAGAACAAAUCAUACAGAAAUCAAAAUGAUGCGUCAUGUAGCAAAGCAUAGUUGUGCAUGCUGUCGGAUCAAGAAGCAUUUGUCACACACAAGAAACUGGAAAGAACAAAAAAAAAUCUCUUCAGAAAGGACAAUUUCGCCAUCCAUGCUUAAUUUGGACUAUCCACAAGUUCAACAAGUCUAUCACAGCUAACAACUUUGGAAGAUCCAAAUCCAGUUACAUCCUCAUGUUCAGACACUCACUGAUCAUGACCUCCUCUUCACCAAACUAUGAUUAACGAAGUCAGAAAGUGUCCUAUAUCAUCUACCAGACGUUAUGCACACAGGGACAACAAUGUAUAAAAAAGGAACCUAAUUUACACUCCUGUCGCCACUCAAUAGUUACACAAUCCAGUUCAGCAAGAGCACUCUCUAGUUACACAAGGGGAAGCAACUCCAUCUUCCCCAAGAAUCCCAUCGUCGCAAACUAAUCAUUCACCAAGGAAAUCCGCACAACAAAUGAUCCCAUUCAGUUCCACUCCUGCAAUUUUUACCGGCCAACUCAAACCCAAAUCACAACUCGACAAAUAAUCCCUUUCCACGAAGGCGCCACUCAAAAAUCCCUGCCAAGCCCUUAAGCAACUACCUACACACAAAUAACUCAACUUGGAUAGCCUAGCACGAUUUGGAACCAAGAAAUCAAUUCCUGCCAAGCACGGCUGGACAAGAAUCCAUUCCCAUCACACAACUGACGCCAUCUACACCAUCACAACGCACGCCCUCUAAAGGGACCAACAAAUCUUCAAACUCCAAGAACCCAAUUCCACGAGUCGCACAGAAAUCUUGUCGCAAGGACCCGAUCCUAACGGGGCGGAUCAAGCAGAAAGCGAAGAACAGGAGGGGAAAUCUGAGGGGCUGGGAGCUCGGAUCGUGAAAUCUUACCGCCUCCGGCGGCCGCAGCGCCCUUGGGGGUGGAUCCUGCGCAGCCCAUGAGGAUCCUGCUUCUCGGUGGUGAAGCCGUGGAGGACUGGAGGAGGGCUUUGGGGGAGGCACAGCUUGGCUUCCGAGCUUCUACGGAAGAAAGGAACAGAAAGCGCCGGUGGUUUACUGUAUAUAUCCCCUUUCAUAAGCUCUCCUGUCUUCGUUUAUAGGAGUGUGAUUUUAUUUAUUUAAUUAAAUCAAAACUUGCUUAUAUCAGAGGAGAGAACAUCGGAAUAUCGGAUACAACAACGUAAUAAUAGAGUAACUGAAGCCAAUAACAUAAGAAUGACCCUAGAAAAACAAAGCUUGCAAGCAAGACAAUAUGGCUCAACAUUUUGCUAAGGUCAUCUCCAACGCGGAGCCUCAAAAUGUCCGCACGUGUCCGAACCGACUUGUUCGGAUGUUGCAAGACAUCCAACACGGGCUUGUAUUUGUUGGCAACGAGUCCGCAUGUCCGUUUACUCACAAACCGAAAGCAAACCAGGGGGCUUUGCGUGGAGUUCGGACCUCCGACACGUAGGACUCCGACAGCCUCAGCCCACACAAAACCGAGGCGAAGCCCGUGCAUUUGGAGCAGUCCGCAAAUCGGUGCCAAAACCCCCUCCCCCUCUCCGCUCUGAUCGCCGCAUCAUCCACCCUUCUCGCACUUUUCGCUUCCGCCACCGCAUGGACCCGUACGAAGAUCUGCUGGAGCCGGCGGGGGUGAAGGAUCUGGAGAAGGUGUCCGCCUGGAAGAUUAACUCAGCGGCACGACAAGCCCGCCACCUCAAAGCAAAGGCAAAAGAUGGGGUGGCCGACAAAAAGAAGGGCGGCAAGGGAGCGGGUGGGGCCAAGGACGGGGUGCAGGGGCCAGGCGGGGCGUCGUCACCAUCGUCGUCCAUACACAUGCCACCCUGUCCAUAGCAAUAUCAACCUCCCUACUUCUACGCCACCAAGCAGCUCGGUCGGUAAUCCACAACCUCCAUUGUCAGACAUGUGUCGUAUUGCGUGAAUGUCAACGUACCAAAUUGCUAUGCGUUUGAAAUGAAAUUGGCUGGACCUGGGCGGACGUUUAUGGGAUACGUUGGAUGGCCGACUCCCGCAUCUGUGUCCGCAGACUGGUCCAGACUUGUCCGCGGGCAGAUAGUGUGUCCAUUUUAGGUAAUGGUUGUUGGGGAACGUAGCAUGCAACUUCAAAAAAUUUCCUACGAUCACGCAAGAUCUAUCUAGGAGAUGCAUAGCAACGAGAGGGGGAGAGUGUGUCCACGUACCCUCGUAGACCGAAAGCGGAAGCAUUAGCUUAACGCGGUUGAUGUAAUCGAACGUCUUCGCGAUCCAACCGAUCAAACACCGCACGUACGACACCUCCGAGUUCUGCACACGUUUAGCUCGAUGAUGUCCCUCGAACUCUUGAUCCAGCAAAGUGUCGAGGGAGAGUUCCGUCAGCACGACGGCGUGGUGAUGGUGAUGUGAUCCGCGCAGGGCUUCGCCUAAGCACUACGACGCUAUGACCGGAGGAGUAAACUGUGGAGGGGGGCACCGCACACAACUAAGAGAACAAUUGAUGUGCUAUGGGGUGCCCCCUGCCCCCGUAUAUAAAGGAGGAGAGGGAGGAGGCCGGCCAAGGGGGCGCUCCAUGGGGAGGGAAACCGACUAGGACUCCUAGUCCUAGUCGCCCCCCCUUCCUUUCUUUCGGAGGGGGAAAAGGGAAGGAGAGGGAGAGGGAGAGGGAGAAGGAAAGGGGGUCGCGCCCCCUCCCCUUUGUCCAAUUCGGACUCCCAUGGGGGGGCACCCCUUGCGGGCUCCCCUCUCUCUCCCCUAUGGUCCAUGUAGGCCCAUUACCUUCCGGGGGGGUUCCGAUAACCCCUCGGUACUUCGAAAAAUAUCCGAACCACUCCGAAACUAUUGCGGUGUCCGAAUACCAUCAUCCAAUAUAUCAAUAUUUACCUCUCGACCAUUUCAAUACUCCUCGUCAUGUCUGUGAUCUCAUCCAGGACUCCGAACAAUCUUCGGUCACCAAAACACAUAACUCAUAAUCAAAUCGUCAUCGAACGUUAAGCGUGCGGACCCUACGGGUUCGAGAACUAUGUAGACAUGACCGAGACACAUCUCCGAUAACCAAUAGCGGAACCUGGAUGCUCAUAUUGGUUCCUACAUAUUCUACGAAGAUCUUUAUCGGUCAAACCGCAAUGACAACAUACGUCAUUCCUGUGUCAUCAGUAUGUUACUAGCCCGAGAUUUGAUCGUCGAUAUCUUCAUACCUAGUUCAAUCUCGUUACCGGCAAGUCUCUUUACUCGUUCUGUAAUGCAUCAUCCCGCAACUAACUCAUUAGUCACAUUGCUUGCAAGGCUUACCGUGAUGUGCAUUACCGAGAGGGCCCAGAGAUACCUCUCCGAUACUUGGAGUGACAAAUCCUAAUCUCGAUCUAUGCCAACCCAACAAACACCUUCGGAGACACCUGUAGAGCAUCUUUAUAAUCACCCAGUUACGUUGUGAUGUUUGAUAGCACACAAGGUGUUCCUCCGGUAUUCGGGAGUUGCAUAAUCUCAUAGUCAAAGGAAUAUGUAUAAGUCAUGAAGAAAGCAAUAGCAAUAAAACUUAACGAUCAUUAUGAUAAGCUAACGGAUGGGUCUUGUCCAUCACAUCAUUCUCCUAAUGAUGUGACAUCGUUCAUCAAAUGACAACACAUGUCUAUGGUUAGGAAACUUAACCAUCUUUGAUUAACGAGCUAGUCAAGUAGAGGCAUACUAGGGACACUCUGUUUUGUCUAUGUAUUCACACAUGUAUCAAGUUUCCGGUUAAUACAAUUCUAGCAUGAAUAAUAAACAUUUAUCAUGAUAUAAGGAAAUAUAAAUAACAACUUUACUAUUGCCUCUAGGGCAUAUUUCCUUCAAUGGUGUUGGAGAUGCCCUAAGACCACAACCAAACUUACAGCUGUUUAGCCGAUAUAGCUCUCGCUAGUGAUGGACAUCACAAAAAAUUCAACACCAAACUACCUACAUAGACAUGUAGAGAAUCAAACCUAAUUCAUUGGGUGCAAAUAGUAGAUGGCGCACGCUACACGUCGAUCGGCUGACGAGCAGAUUGGAUUGGCCGUCUGAUCCCACAUGAGACACUUGUCUGAUCUUGGUUACACUACCCGUCAGGUUGGGACCCAACCAUUGCAACGUGCCCCAUGUCGGGAACAUGAUGUUUGCAGCUGGUCCCAAAUUACAAUGAUCGUCAACCAUACACCUCUUCUCCAGCCGUUGCAACAUGUGCCAUGUUGCCACCGCAAGAAAUCCUUUUCGCUAUUGGGCUCAGGUGGUUUGUUGAAUUUGUUUCCUUUGAAAUAUGAACCAUCUUGGGCUCGGGUGGUUGCAACAUGGCCUAUGUUGCAACUGGUUAACUUUGUUCCUCACCUGGUCGGACCAUAACAUGAGUUGUGUUUGGCUUAGAUGGUUGCAAAUUGGCCCGUGUUGCAACUAGCUGCCUUGUCUACACAUGCCAUUACGCAACCUGGACGUUGCAAAGGCCAGCAUGCAUCAUGGUCAUUGUUGUAAACCACCAUGCAACAUGGACGUUGUUGCAUCGCAUGCAGCAACAUCGCCCAGCGAAGCGCGAUAGCUUGAAGCAUCAACGAGGCUCGUUGCUUCCCAUGAAGCGUGAUGACCUGAAGCACAUGUGUGGCAGCAAUAAGCGCAUGACGGCGUGGUCGCGAGGGAGAGAAAAGGAAUGAAAGGUAGCACGCGGAAGAAAAUGAUUGAAUGAGGGCUUCGUCCAAGGGAUACGGUUAUGGGGAGGUGGGCGGUGUGUAGCCACAUGGGACACUGAUACGUCUCCAACAUAUCUAUAUUUGUGAUUGUUUCAUACUAUUAUAUUAUCAUUAUUGUUUGCUUUAUAUGCCAUUUUAUAUUAUUUUUAUGGACUACCUAUUAACUUUGUGCAUAGUGUCGGUUCCUGUUUUUUUGCAUGUUUUUUGUUUCACAAAAAAACCAUACCAAACGAAGUCCAAACAUGAUGAAACUUUACGGUGAUUUUUUCUGAAGCAUAAGAGACCCUAGAAGUUUCGGGGAGAGACCAGAAGACA
RNAcentral lists this long non-coding RNA (7358 nucleotides) under Triticum aestivum (bread wheat). Its description in RNAcentral is "long non-coding RNA (TAES_LNC008809)". The record is from RNAcentral. Lineage: Eukaryota; Viridiplantae; Streptophyta; Magnoliopsida; Poales; Poaceae.